RNAcentral lists this ribosomal RNA (557 nucleotides) under Staphylococcus aureus. RNAcentral describes it as "partial 23S ribosomal RNA". It matches the Rfam family "Bacterial large subunit ribosomal RNA", at positions 119 to 673 of the family's 2925-position model. The record is from RNAcentral. Lineage: Bacteria; Bacillati; Bacillota; Bacilli; Caryophanales; Staphylococcaceae.
UGGGGAAACCCAGCAUGAGUUAUGUCAUGUUAUCGAUAUGUGAAUACAUAGCAUAUCAGAAGGCACACCCGGAGAACUGAAACAUCUUAGUACCCGGAGGAAGAGAAAGAAAAUUCGAUUCCCUUAGUAGCGGCGAGCGAAACGGGAAGAGCCCAAACCAACAAGCUUGCUUGUUGGGGUUGUAGGACACUCUAUACGGAGUUACAAAGGACGACAUUAGACGAAUCAUCUGGAAAGAUGAAUCAAAGAAGGUAAUAAUCCUGUAGUCGAAAAUGUUGUCUCUCUUGAGUGGAUCCUGAGUACGACGGAGCACGUGAAAUUCCGUCGGAAUCUGGGAGGACCAUCUCCUAAGGCUAAAUACUCUCUAGUGACCGAUAGUGAACCAGUACCGUGAGGGAAAGGUGAAAAGCACCCCGGAAGGGGAGUGAAAUAGAACCUGAAACCGUGUGCUUACAAGUAGUCAGAGCCCGUUAAUGGGUGAUGGCGUGCCUUUUGUAGAAUGAACCGGCGAGUUACGAUUUGAUGCAAGGUUAAGCAGUAAAUGUGGAGCCGUAGCG